AGAGUUUGAUCAUGGCUCAGGACGAACGCUGGCGGCGUGCCUAAUACAUGCAAGUCGAGCGGAAUGAUGAAGAAGCUUGCUUCUUCUGAUUUUAGCGGCGGACGGGUGAGUAACACGUGGGCAACCUACCUUGUAGAUUGGGAUAACUCCGGGAAACCGGGGCUAAUACCGAAUAAUCCAUUUUGCUUCAUGGCAAGAUGUUGAAAGGCGGCUUCGGCUGUCACUACGAGAUGGGCCCGCGGCGUAUUAGCUAGUUGGUAGGGUAAUGGCCUACCAAGGCGACGAUACGUAGCCGACCUGAGAGGGUGAUCGGCCACACUGGGACUGAGACACGGCCCAGACUCCUACGGGAGGCAGCAGUAGGGAAUCUUCCACAAUGGACGAAAGUCUGAUGGAGCAACGCCGCGUGAGUGAAGAAGGUUUUCGGAUCGUAAAACUCUGUUGUAAGGGAAGAACACGUACGAGAGUAACUGUUCGUACCUUGACGGUACCUUAUUAGAAAGCCACGGCUAACUACGUGCCAGCAGCCGCGGUAAUACGUAGGUGGCAAGCGUUGUCCGGAAUUAUUGGGCGUAAAGCGCGCGCAGGCGGUUCUUUAAGUCUGAUGUGAAAGCCCACGGCUCAACCGUGGAGGGUCAUUGGAAACUGGAGAACUUGAGUACAGAAGAGGAAAGCGGAAUUCCACGUGUAGCGGUGAAAU
This 700-nucleotide ribosomal RNA is filed under the name uncultured bacterium. RNAcentral's name for it is "bacterial SSU rRNA". It matches the Rfam family "Bacterial small subunit ribosomal RNA", at positions 8 to 687 of the family's 1533-position model. The record is from RNAcentral.